This 87-nucleotide transfer RNA is filed under the name Gemmatimonas sp. RNAcentral's name for it is "tRNA-Ser". It matches the Rfam family "tRNA". From Rfam's summary of the family: Transfer RNA (tRNA) molecules are approximately 80 nucleotides in length. Their secondary structure includes four short double-helical elements and three loops (D, anti-codon, and T loops). Further hydrogen bonds mediate the characteristic L-shaped molecular structure. tRNAs have two regions of fundamental functional importance: the anti-codon, which is responsible for specific mRNA codon recognition, and the 3' end, to which the tRNAs corresponding amino acid is attached (by aminoacyl-tRNA synthetases). tRNAs cope with the degeneracy of the genetic code in two manners: having more than one tRNA (with a specific anti-codon) for a particular amino acid; and 'wobble' base-pairing, i.e. permitting non-standard base-pairing at the 3rd anti-codon position. Lineage: Bacteria; Pseudomonadati; Gemmatimonadota; Gemmatimonadia; Gemmatimonadales; Gemmatimonadaceae. The record is from RNAcentral. RNAcentral also lists the same sequence under 3 other names.
GGAUGGGUGGCCGAGUGGUUUAAGGCGCACGCCUGGAAAGCGUGUUGGCGCGAAAGCGUCUCGGGGGUUCGAAUCCCCCCUCAUCCG